UUUUCAGCUUCGGAGUUGUAGCAUUGGAAAUAGCAUGUGGUCGAAAACCUAUUGACCUCAUGGUGGUAGAAAAUGAGAGAGAAUUGGUAAAGUGGGUUUGGGACCUCUAUGGAAUGGAACAAAUUCUUGAAGCAGCUGACCCAAGACUCUCAGGGGCUUACGACGAGCAUCAAAUGCAACGGUUGAUGAUUGUCGGGCUUUGGUGUGCACAUCCAGAUAGUACCACUAGGCCUUCCAUCAGGCAAGCAAUUCAUGUUCUUAAUUUUGAUGCUCCAUUGCCUUCACUCCCACGCAGGAUGCCUGUGGCAACCUAUUCCACGCCUUUAAACUUUUCUUCGGUGUCUUCAGAAAGCAAGGCCACUACCCAGACAAGCCAAACUCAUUCUUCAGCCUAUAGUAACGGUACUGAUUCUUCAGUGUCUGCAUCUGCAGCACUUCUAAACAAUACUAUAUAAGUGUGAUAAUUAACAUGUAAAAUAAAAAAAAAAUAUUUCCAAUUUAUAUAUGAGUAAAUAAGAGUGAUUAUGUUUACAGCAUUCACUUCUGAUUUGAUUCAUUCUGUAAUUGCUUGACAUAUUCGAAUUUUCAAUCUUCUUCACUAAUUGUCUUUCAUAGUUAUCACAUCAGUUAACAUUUCUAAUUUGGGCACUUGGCUUCAAUUAGUAGUGGUCCUGCUCAGUGCUUCUAAAUUCAAAUGCUGAUUAAUUCUCUGAAAGUAGUUCAACUAGAGGUUUAUAGUAAACUCUGUGGAUUACUUUAAUCUGUACCAUACUAAUAUUCCUUCCGCCGGCAAGAUAUUGGGAUAAAUUUUAUUGCACAAGUCACUGUCUACAGUCUUUAAGCAUUACCUGUCUGCAAUGAUCAAGACAAGUCUAUAUCGUCAACUAUCUUUUUUCAAUAAAUUUCAAAGUAUGUCCGAUAUGAGCUGAAUGAUUCAACUAAGAUUUUGUUUGAAACAUAACCCCAAGACCAAUUUGAAAGAUAUGAAACUGACUUGCAACAGCAGAGCCUGAAGCACCAAGGAAGAACUGAAGUAUAGCUUGUUACUAACAUCCAUAAGGCCAACUGCUGAUGCUCAAGGGUGAGUGUGAGGGUGGUUUGUGCCAGCAGAAAGCCAGCAUUUGGAACACUGACCAGUGAUUAAAAUAUUUCCGACUCCAAAUUUUCUGGUAAUUAUCAAAUUGUUUCUUUUGUUCAAGUUCAAAAAUCUAAUUAAAUUUAAAUACAAAAAGAGAAUAUAAAUAUACAGUAAUAAUUCUAAAGUUUAGAUUUUUAACUUGAGGAAAGUGUCCAAAUAUUUUAGGAAGCUACUGAGUACAUAAUAUAAUAUAAAUUAAUAUAUAAAAAUAAAUUCUUCAAAUUACGGUCUCCUAACAUUUUGAUUACAAAAAAACCUCCACAUACUUAGAAGCAUCAUGCCCUUUUAACUUAUACUCCUUAGAAAGUAGUUUGAACACGACAAAGAGAAAAUUAAAAAAUAAAAGUAGUUUGAAAAUUCACUUAAUGCACAAUUCAAUAAGCUAUAUAAAGUUAAAAGUAAAUUACCAAGAAAAAUAAUUUCCUCCUUAAAAUUAUUAUUAUAAAAGUUAAGGUUUCUAGUACAUGGGCCUAUUUGACGUAUUGAAUGGUUAAUAAAGUUUGAAAGACUUGGAUAACUGGAAGAUAAAUUUGCAUCCAAAUUUCACAAGAUGAAUUCAAGCAUGGUUUGCAGCCAUCUCAUGCCAGGAAGCUCUGCUAUCUCCUCUAUUGUCAUUAGAUCUCUGAUAUUUCUAAGUACGAUUCAGAUGGCAGCAACCUUACAUUUUAAGUUUACCAACUUCAACCAUACCAAUGAUGAUCAAAUAAAAUACGAGAGAGAUGCCUUUCCGGCCAACAAUGUCAUCCACCUCACUAAUGCGGUGAUUGGUCAAUCAGCUGAGUCAAGUAUCGGCCGAGUUACUUAUAGACAGCCUUUGCAUCUAUGGGACAAGGCCUCAAGAAACCUUACUGGCUUCACUACCCGUUUCACUUUUGUGAUUGAUUCCAGAAAUGAUACAGCGUAUGGCGAUGGGAUGGCGUUCUUUCUAGUUCCAAAUGGUACCGAGGUCCCGGCACUUGCAACAUCUGGGGGAACAUUUGGACUCACAAAUGAUAGUCAGCCUACCAACACCACCGCCAAUAAAUUUGUCGCUGUUGAAUUUGACGUGUUUGAGAACUCUUGGGACCCUGACAUUGACGAGCCGGAGGACCCUCUUUUUGGCCGUUCUCCUGAUGUGAAAAUUGAGCAUGUAGGUGUUGAUAUCAACUCUGUGAGAUCCAACAAAACUGUGCUUUGGGAUUAUGGGAGGUCUAGUGUUGAGAAUGGAUGGACCAAUGAAGCUCAGAUAAGUUAUGCUUCUAGUUCAAAAAAUCUUAGUGUUUCAUUCCGUACAAAUAUAACUGGCAAUUUCUACUUUGUGGUUGAUCUACGAGACCAUUUGCCAGAUUGGGUCAGUGUUGGCUUUUCAGCUUCAACAGGAGCCGCAAUUUCUUACAAUACAAUCAAUUCAUGGGAAUUCAGUUCUACUCUGGAGUCCCAUGCAGAAGCUCCGAGUCCAAGUCAUCGUGGUCCAGUACCACAGGUUCCAAAACAUAUUAAAACAAAUAAUAAAAGGAUGGGUCUAGUGAUUGGAUUGGCGGUAGGGGGGUUUGUUCUUGUUUGUGCUGCGGGUAUAUACAUUAUAUUGAAGAAGAAGAAGAAAGAAAGAGCAGAAAAUGAAAAUACCAAUUGUUUUGAGGAUGAUUUCAUGGAUGAUGACUUUGAGAAAGGAACUGGACCUAAAAAGUUCUCGUAUAAUGCUCUUGCUAUGGCAACAAGCAACUUUGCACCACAUGGAAAACUUGGAGAAGGAGGAUUUGGGGAAGUUUACAAAGGCUACUUGAGUGAACUGAAUUUGGAUGUGGCUGUCAAGAGAGUAUCAAGAAAUUCUAGACAAGGAAUAAAGGAGUAUGCAUCCGAAGUGAGGAUCAUUAGUCGUCUCAGACAUAAAAAUUUGGUGCAGCUCAUUGGUUGGUGCCAUGAACGGAAUAAUCUUUUACUUGUCUAUGAGUAUAUGCAAAAUGGUAGCCUGGAUUCCCAUCUUUUCAAGGGGAAGAGCUUGCUGUCUUGGAGUACAAGGUAUAAAAUGCGUCAGUAUUGCUUUAUCUACACGAAGAAUGGGAGCAAUGUGUGGUGCAUAGAGACAUUAAAUCAAGCAAUGUCAUGUUAGAUUCAAGUUUCAACACUAAGCUAGGUGAUUUCGGACUGGCCAGAUUUGUUGAUCAUGAAAGGGGUGCACAAACAACUAUGGUGGCCGGGACACGAGGCUACAUGGCCCCCGAAUGUUUUUUCACAGGCCAAGCUAGCAGGAUGUCGGAUGUUUUCAGCUUCGGAGUUGUAGCAUUAGAAAUAGCAUGUGGUCGAAAACCUAUUGACCUCAAGCUAGAAGAAAGUCGGGUAGAAUUAGUAAAGUGGGUUUGGGAGCUUCAUGGAAGGGAACAAAUUCUUGAAGCAGCAGACCCAAAACUCUCCGGGGAUUACGACGAGAGUCAAAGGAAACGGUUGAUGAUGGUCGGGCUCUGGUGUGCCCAUCCAGAUUGGCCAAUUAGGCCUUCCAUUAAGGAGGCGAUUCAAGUUCUUAAUUUUGAUGCUCCAUUGCCUGUUCUCCCGCCCCAGAUGCCAGUGGCAACCUAUUCCAUACCAUCAAAUUUGUCUUUAGAAGACAAGGCCACAACCCAGAGAAGCCAAACUCAUUCUUCAGGCUCUAGUAACGGAACUGAUUCAUCAGUGUCCGCAACUGCAGCACGUCUAAAUAAUACUAGAUAACCAUGUUGUUUAAUAUGCAGCUGAAUACAUUUUUUUGAAGAUAAGCGUGUCGGUUGAUAUGCAACUCAAUAUUUAUUAUGUGUGAUUUUAUAAUUUGAUUCAGUUUGAUUGUAAUUCUGAGGAUUAACAUGUCGGUUGAUAUGCAACUCAAUACUUACUAUGUGUGAUUUUGUAAUUUGAUUUUAGUUUCAUUGUAACUCAUUCAGUGAUUUGCAAAGUCAUGGUCUACGGUCAUUAGCAUUACCUCUCGGCAAUGAUCAAUAGAAGUCUACGUCGACUAUCCUUUUUUAUAAAUUUCAAAUAAUGUUCGAUAUGAGCUAUCAAACGUUAGUUUUAGUCAUAAAAGAGUGUAUCAUGAAUUACAAGUAAACAAUCAUUUACUUUUAGAUCUAGAACCAUAAAGUAGGAGCGUUUGGCAAAUAAAAUUAAGUCCUUAUUAAAGAUUUGUUUCUUUUAAAAUGCUUAUUUUAUAAAUUUUUUAAAUAUAAAUAUUAGGUAGGUGUUGCAUAUUCAUUAUGCGACAAAAAAAAAGGACUAAUUUCAGGAAAAAAAUUAAGCUAUUAUUUCAGAAAAAUGAGUGUAGUCAAAGGAGAACACGGUAACCCACUCUUUUUCUUUUCCAUUUUCUGUUUUGUUUUACCCACGGCUGUAAAUUGAUUAUGGUGAAACUGGAUUAAAAAUACAAUCCGAGUUCGAAUCGAAUAUGAACAAUCGAUCAUAUUUUGGGUAUUUGGGUAGGAUAAUAUUAGAAAAAAUUAUAUGUGAUCUAAUUUGAUCAGCAGUAUAAGAUUGCUCAUAUCCGGCAUCAUAUAUUAUCCAGGCUUAAUUUUUCCAACAGAUUUCGAUCGUUUUCAAAACGGAUAUGAGACAUGUAUCAUAUUUUCGAGCCGGAUAGCCGAGAUACCGAAUAGUCUGUAUCGACUAACAUCGCUAGUUUUAUCCUGUUAACGUUCUUUUUUUACUGAACACAAUUUUACAAAAUAUAAUAAUUUUAAAUUAAAACUUACAAUUAUAUGUAGGUAUAUAUAAUUAAGUAAAUAUAUAUAUGAAGAUAAUAAGUAUUAUCACAGUAAAUAAAUCAUAUUUUGUGAGAUUUACACUUAAAUAAGAUAUUAAAAUUUUAUAAAAUGAUGAAUAUUACUUACAUAUGUAAUAAAUUAAAAAUAUAAUUUGCAUAUUAGUUCCAAUCGAAUAUGAACCAUCGAUCAUAUUCGGAUAUUUGGGUAGGAUCAUAUUAGAAAAAAUUUUAUGUGCCCAGGAUUGCUCAUAUUCGGGAUCAUAUAUCAUUUAAUUAUAUUAUUAUAGACUUGUUAAAUAAGAUAUAUAAAUUUAUGUAAAUAAUUUUUGCAGCCUAAACAUAUGUAUAACUUAUAAUUAAAAAAUAUUAAAUUUGUUACAUUAUUAUCAAAUUUUGUUACUGGCAAGAAACCUCCAGGAAGUGUGGUGUGUAGGUACUUCUUUGUGUUUCAUUACUUUAUCAAAUGGGCAAGUCAGAAUAAUCAGAAAAAGUUUAAUCCGCAGGACCACUGCUUCCACUAUAAAUUUAUAAUCAUUAUAGUUGUUUUCUCAAUUCUCAUUGAAGAAUGAUGUUGCCGAUCUAGACUUGUCAGCUCUGCUUAUUCUUCCAAUUUUAUGAACAUAAUCAUCGAGGUCUUUUGGCAAAUUAAAGUUGAUGACACAGGUGACAUAGGCAACAUCCAGACCUUUUAGCUUCGGAGUUGUAGCAUUGGAAAUAUAUUAACUCCGAAUACAGGGGGUGUUUGGCCAGGUUUAAAAGCCCGACUUCUCGGUUUAUAAGUUAGAAACACGUAUUUUUACUGUUUGUGUAAAAAGUAAAGAAGUAUUUAUAAAAAGGAGAGAAUACUAGUCUUUGUUCAUAGUUUUUGCGUCUUUCCCAAAUACUUUAAGCUUCUAAUUUUUAAUUCACUUCUUUAUUCUAAGCAAGAAGCGCUUAUUUUAAGCUCAAUCAAACAGCGUCAUAGUAUUUGUAAUUUGAUCCGUGUGUGAUUGUAAUUUAUUCAGUGAUGGCUUAACAUUUCCCGGUUUGCAAUUUUUCUCUAUUCAAAAUUCAAUAUCUACAAUUUUGUAUCUGAUCAGUUGAAGCUGUCAAUCGUUAGUUUAGGAUACAUAUUCAUCCUUACUAUGCCUCCUCAAGAACGACGUUGUUUUAACAAUGACCAUCCUGGAAAACAGAGAUUGAAAAGCAGCUCUUGGAAGUAGUUUUGUGAGGGAAUCAGUAACUUAUUCAGAAGUCUGUUUUUGCUAGAAUUUUCAUAAAUUAUGCAGAACUGUGUUGUACCGCUUUUUGUUUCUUUUUUCUAGGAAUUGCAAUUGGAAUUUGGAGUGCUUAGGUUCUGGUCGUUUAGAUCACUACUGACAUGUCACUGGAAAUUACUCAGGGGACAUUUAGAGAAUCAGGUAGACGAGAAUGUGAAAGAUAUGAUAUUCUAAGAUGUGAAAUGAAUGAAUUAUCCACCUCUAAUGUUAUAUAACACAAAUACUAAUCCAAACAAAUGCUCAGGGAUGUGAAAUGAAUGAAUUAUCCUUUGAUUUUGACGUUUCCAUGGUGGUGGUGUGUCAGGGUUAAUACCUUGGCAUACACCGGCUCUGAUACCAGGUGUGGAAACUAUUGAUUGUGUAUCAACUGCGUAAGUUUAGGAGAAAAAGAAAAAACUGAAGAGACAAACCCUGGCUUUUUACUUAUUACUUAAUACUUCAACUUACAUGCGACGUACAUAUAUAAAGACCGAAAAAUACUGCUAGAGCUCCUAAACACCAGCGCGCUUACACCAGCUUUUAAUACUCACACUACUCCAUGUUCCCUGCCGAUGAUUUUACACUGCCUGCUGUCUAGAAAAACAACUUGUACUGACCCAUGCUUUGCUACUAUUCGAGAAACAUUUCUUUAAAAACAAAAACAUAAGUUUGGAAUAAUUAAUUCGACAUAAAUGGCAAUGCUAGUGCUUCACAGCAAAGAUUCAGCUUUAUGGUUAUUCUAUGAGACCAUUUGCCAGAUUGGGUCAGUGUUGGCUUUGCAGCUGCAACAGGAGCGUCAAUUUCUUACAAUACAAUCUAUUCAUGGUAUUCAUAUUCAAAUAUAAUGAUUCCAAAUCCAAAAUCUAGACACACUGAUUAUAAAAUAAUUCGAUUUUUUGACCAUAAAGGUACAUCUAAAUGAUAUCGUUUGAUGCCCAAACAAAAUAUCAAACACAAGCUCGGAUUCUGAACGCCUGAAGAACUCGGUCAAUUCCAACUCCAAAUUUUCUAAUUUCUCAAAACGUUUCUUUUAUUCAAACUUAAAUAUCUAAUUAAAUUUUAAUACAAAAAGAUAAAAUAAAUAUACAAUACUAACUCUAAAGUUUAGAUUUUUAACUGGAGAAAAGUGUUCAAAUAUUCUAGGAAGUUACAUGAGUACAUAAAAUAAUAUAAAUUAAUUUAUAAUUAUCUGAAUAAAUUCUUCAAAUUAGACCGUCUCCUAACAUUUUCACUACAAAACCCCCCUACUUGAACCAUGAUGCUCUUUUAACUUAUACUCCCUAGAAAGUAGUUUGAACACGACAAAGAGAAAAUUAAAAAAUUAAAGUAGUUUGAAAAUUCAUUUAAUGGACAAUUCAAUAAGCUAUAUAAAGUUAAAGUAAAUAAUUAUCAGGAAAAAUAAUUUCCUCCACAAAGUUAAAAUUAUUAUUAUAAAAGUAAAGUUUUCCAUUACAUGGGCCUAUUGACGUAUGGAAUGGAAUGGUUAAUAAGUUUGAAAGACUUCGAUAGCUGGAAGAUGAAUUUGCAUCAAUUUCAAAAAAUGAAUUCAAGCAUGGUUUCCAGCCAUCUCCGGGCAGGAAGCACAACUAUCUCCUCUAUUCUCAUUAGAUCUCUGAUAUUUCUAAGUACCAUUCAAUUCGCAGCAACUCUACAUUUUAACUUUACCAACUUCAACCGUACCAAUGAUGAUCAAAUAAAAUACGAGAGAGAUGCCUUUACGGCCAACGAUGUCAUCCACCUCACAAAUGCCGUGGUUGGUCAAUCAGCUCAGUCAAGUAUCGGACGAGUUACUUAUAGACAGCCUUUGCAUCUAUGGGAUAAGGCCUCAAGAAACCUUACUGACUUCACUACCCGUUUCACUUUUGUGAUUGAUUCCAGAAAUGAUACAUCGUAUGGCGAUGGGAUGGCGUUCUUUCUAGUUCCAAAUGGUACCGGGGUCCCGGCACUUGCAACAUCUGGUGGAACAUUUGGACUUACAAAUGAUAGUCAGCCUACCAACACCACUGCCAAUAAAUUUGUUGCUGUUGAAUUUGACGUGUAUGGGAACGACUGGGACCCUGGCGAGUCGCUGGACCCUGAUCUCACCAUUCCUCCCGGUGAGAAACCUGAGCAUGUAGGUGUUGAUAUCAACUCUGUGGAAUCCGAGGAAACUGAGCUUUGGAAAUAUGGGAGUUCUAGUGUUAUAAAUGGGUGGACAAACGAAGCUCAGAUAAGUUAUGCUUCUAGUUCAAAAAAUCUUAGUGUUUCAUUCCGUACACUAAAUUACAAAGAUUCGCCUCAAAGUUUCUACUUUGUGGUUGACCUAAGGGACCAUUUGCCAGAUUGGGUCAGUGUUGGCUUUUCAGCUUCAACAGGAGCCGCAAUUUCUUACAAUACAAUCAAUUCAUGGGAAUUCAGUUCUACUCUGGAGUCCCAUGCAGAGGCUCCGAGUCCAAGUCAUCCGUUACCACCGGUUCCGCCUCCAAGUCAAACCGGUCCAGUACCACAGGUUCCAAAACAUAUUAAAACAAAUAAUAAGAGGAUGGGUCUUGUGAUUGGAUUGGCGGUGGGGGUGUUUCUUCUUGUUUGUUCUGGGGCCAUAUACCGUAUUUUGAAGAAGAAGAAAGAGAAACAGGAAUAUGAAAAUAAUAUUUGUUUUGAGGAUGAUUUCAUGGAUGAUGAAUUUGAGAAAGGAACAGGACCUAAAAAGUUCUCUUAUAGUGCUCUUGCUAUGGCAACAAGUAGCUUUGCACCACAUGGAAAACUUGGAGAAGGUGGAUUUGGGGAAGUUUACAAAGGCUUCUUGAGUGAACUGAAUUUGGAUGUGGCUGUCAAAAGAGUAUCAAGAAAUUCUAGACAAGGAAUAAAGGAGUAUGCAUCCGAAGUGAGGAUCAUUAGUCGUCUCAGACAUAAAAAUUUGGUGCAGCUCAUUGGUUGGUGCCAUGAACGGAAUAAUCUUUUACUUGUGUAUGAGUAUAUGCAAAAUGGUAGCCUGGAUUCCCAUCUUUUCAAGGGGAAGAGCUUGCUGUCUUGGAGUACAAGGUAUAAAAUUGCUCAAGGCCUGGCGUCAGUAUUGCUUUAUCUACAUGAAGAAUGGGAGCAAUGUGUGGUGCAUAGAGACAUUAAAUCAAGCAAUGUCAUGUUAGAUUCGAGUUUUAACACUAAGCUAGGUGAUUUCGGACUGGCCAGAUUUGUUGAUCAUGAAAGGGGUGCACAAACAACUAUGGUGGCCGGGACACGAGGCUACAUGGCCCCUGAAUGUUUUUUCACAGGCCAAGCUAGCAGGAUGUCGGAUGUUUUCAGCUUCGGAGUUGUAGCACUGGAAAUAGCCUGUGGUCGAAAACCUAUUGACAUCAAGCUAGAAGAAAGUCGGAUAGAAUUAGUAAAGUGGGUUUGGGAGCUUCAUGGAAGGGAACAAAUUCUUGAAGCAGCAGACCCAAAACUCUCGGGGGAUUAUGACGAGAGUCAAAUGAAACGGUUGAUGAUGGUCGGGCUCUGGUGUGCACAUCCAGAUUGGCCAAUUAGGCCUUCCAUUAAGGAGGCCAUUCAAAUUCUUAAUUUUGAUGCUCCAUUGCCUGUUCUGCCGCCCCAGAUGCCUGUGGCAACCUAUUCCAUACCAUCAAACUUGUGUUCAGAAAACAGGGCCACAACCCAGAGAAGCCAAACUCAUUCUUCAGGCUCUAGUAACGGAACUGAUUCAUCAGUGUCUGCAACUGCAGCACGUCUAAAUAAUACUAGAUAAGCGAGAUAAGCGUGUCGGUUAAUAUGCAACUCAAUACUUAUAUGUGUGAUUUUGCAAUUUGAUUUCAGUUUGAUUGUAAUUCAUUCAGUGAUUGCUAUUUUUUCAUAAUUUAUUUAACAUUACAACAAAUAAAAACUAUAUCAUUUAAUCAAAUUAUUAUUGAAUUAAAUUAUUGCCUCGCGUAAUUAUAUGUAUAAUUUAAAAUUAAAAAAAUACUACUCCCUCCAUCCCAUUUUAAGUGUCCAUUUUGUCAAAAAAAAAUUUCCCAAAAUAUGUGUCAUACUCUUUAACCCAUGUAAAAUUUAUACCAUUUCCAAUAUAAUAUUAAAUACAACCAACAACUCCUCAUAAAUAUAUUUAGAAGCAUUAUGAAUGUAUAGUGUAAUUUGAAGUGAGAGAAGGUUCAAUACACAAUAAUUAAUGAGAUAUGUAAUUAAUAUGUAUGAAAACUAAGCUGAUUAGUUGUGGAAAGAUAGUUGUGGAAAGAUGGUGAUAAAAAUAUUACAUUAAUUGUUUCUUAAUAUGUGUGAAAAUUGCAAAGUGGACACUUAAAAUGGGAUGGAGGGAGUAAAAUUUUACAUUAUUAUCAUAUUUUUUAGUCAUACCAGAGUAAAUUUCUUAUUGCCCAACAAUAAUUUCUCUAUAAUAACUUUAAUUUUCCUUUAACAGGAUCUAGAAUAAAUAUGUUAUCUUACGAAUUUAGUAUGUCUCUAAAUUUUGUAAUGUGAAUAUGUGAUCUUAAUUUUAUUAUUGAUUAAAUAGUUGAUACAUGUCAUUUUUUCAUGACCAAAAAACUGGCAAGAAACCUCCAGGGUAUUAAUUGGAGCUUUACAUGUGUGUGCUUGUGUAGUUACUUGUUUGUGUUUUAUUACUUCAUCAAAUUUGCAAGCCAGAAUAAUUAGAAAACGUGUAAUCCGCGAACCAGUGCUUGCAUUAUAAUCAUUAUAGUUGUUGUUUUCUCAUUGAAGAAUGUUGUUGCCAAUCUAGACUUGUCAGCUCUGUCUUUUUUCCAAUUCUAUGAACAUAAUCAUCCAAGUCUUUUGACAAAUUAAAGUUGAUCAGAUGGGAGACAUGGGCAACAUCCAGACCUUCUGCACCAACAUAGUAGCCAGCAGGAGGAUAGGCGUAAUCAGUAAUACCAGUUCUGAUUUUUGAAUGAUCUUAAUGCCGUUUUCAGCAAAUUCAAAAACAAAUAAUAAAAAGAUGGGUAUAGUGAUUGGAUUGGCGGUAGGGGUGUUUGUUCUCGUAUAAUGCUCUUGCUAUGGAAAUAAGUAACUUUACACAAUUUGGGGAAGUUUACAAAGGCUUCCUGAGAGAAUUGAACUUGGGUGUGGCUGUCAAGAGAGUGUCAAGAAAUUCCCGAAGUGAGGAUCAUUAGCACUGGAAAUAGCAUGUGGUCGAAAACCUAUUGAGCUCAUGGUAGAAGAGAGUCAGGUAGAAUUAGUAAAGUGGGUUUGGAGCUUUAUGCAUGGAAGGGAACAAAUUGUUGAAGCAGCUGACCCAGAACUCUCCACUAGUGAUGAUUGUUGGGCUUUGGUGUGCACAUCCACAUUGGAUAUUUGGGCAGAUGUCUGUCUGGUUUAACCCGGAUCAAUUACGGCCCUGUUAUAAUAUAAAGGUACAACUCCAAUGAUAUAGUUUUUUUUUUUUUUUUUUAAAGUCUACAUACACGUAUAUGAAUUGUAUCGAAAUACAAUAAACCGCAUCAGGGAUUUCUUUCUUUUAAGAAAGUUUAUCAUCUAACCGAAAGUCAUGCAAGCAUAACUCCGGACGCUUAGACAAUAAAGCUUAAAUGAAUAAGUAAAGAAAACCCAUAAGUCCCGUAGCUUCCAGAGUAUCCUGAAAAAACAAAUCAACCAAAACAUAAAUCAACAUACAAAAAAAUCACACACAUAUAAGUUUAAUUAAAGUAAAAUAAAAAAUCUAAUAAAAAGCAAAACAAAAAUAUAUAUAUAUAUUAAAAAUAGAUAGAAAAUAAAAUAAUAUAGAAAUAUUAAUUAAUUUCUAACCAAAGGAAAAUCCUUUGGUUAGACACAUAAAAAUUAAUUUUUUGGGACAAUAAAAAUUAAAAUUUAAGUGAGGAGUAAAGGAUGAAAUAUAAUUAAAUAUAAUUAAAUAAAAUGAUCAUCAAAAUGGUCAAUAAGCCAUUAAAAGUGGCAUCCAUAAUUGGAACAAAAAGCCAUAAAAGGCACGAUAAAGCCAUUAAAGGCACAAUAAAGUCAUCAUUAAUGACACCCAUAAAUGGUUUUUAAAUUUUGAAUCUUUGAAAAAUAAUAAAAGUAAACAAUUUUCAAAUUUGGAUGGUAAUUGAUUAUAACUUAAGAAAAGUUGACUAAUCUCCAUAAUAUACAGACAACACAUUUAAGGAGCAUUAAAACACAUUUAAGACAUAUAAAUCCAAAACCAAUUUCAAAUUUAAAUUUAUCAAUUUAUCAAUUUAAGAUAAUUCAUUUGUAUAUAAACGGUCAAUUAAUUAUCCAAAUUAAAGCAUAAUUUACUCAAAUUAAAAACAAAAUACAAGUUAAUGCAUGUAGUGGAAAGUCAAAUUCCAAGGAUAAACAAAUUUAAAAAGGAGUCAACUAUCCAUUCAAAAAUAACUGAUUUUAAGAUUUGCAAUUACUACUAUUAAAACCAAAUAAUAUUCAAAAUUACAAAUCUAAAACUAGAAUCAUGGAAUAAAACACGAACUAAUUAAGUCACCAGUGCACCACCGUCACCAUCCAAGAACCGCAAACAAUUAUUAUGAACACUAGCGAAAAAACUAAAAAUCGAACAUGAAGAUACAAAACACCAAAUGUAACUGAUCCUAUAUAUAAUAAAAGAUCGAUAAUAUCUAUCCAAUCUUUUCAAGUUCGGACAAAAAUAGAUAGAAAAAGAUGAAAAUUGGAUACGAAAACAACCCAUACAAUAUUAAAUUUAAGCACACAAUUAUACCUAAUCAUGAAAUAUGAAUCAUCUCACAAUAAUAUAUACAGUAAAACAAAAACCAAUCACAUAAUCAUAAUCAUGUAGGUUUAUGUUUUGAAAAGAUCACACCUGUUUUUUUUAAGUAUUUCCGCAGAUCUCCAAGACAAUUUGCUGAUGAAGGAGGUGUUGACAGCGUAGAUGGCGUUGCCCAAAGAUUAGUCUAGAGUCGGAUAUUCUUUCCUUAGCCAUGGCGCUUAGAUCAAAGAUUAAAAGUUAAAAAAAUACGUUAAAAAGAAAAUAGCAAUGUUGGUGAAACAUGAUCUGAGAAGGGUGGCUAAUGCGGUAGGAGUGGGACAAUGGUGGUGUGUUCAUGUGACACGACUACCAGACCCUAGAACUUGCUGCCUGGCGAUUUUAGUUGAAGGGACGAGAGAGGGAUUAUUAAUUCUACACGCCAGCUAUCAUCUUUUACUAGAGCCAGAGCUUAUUUGUUUGCUGACAGAUGGGUCUUUUGUAAUCCCAGUCCCCGUCCAAGGCUACUCCAAUGAUAUAGUUGAAUGCCCAAACAAAGUAUCAAACACAAGCUUGCAUUCUGAAGGGCCGAAGAACUCGGUCAAUUCCAACUCCAAAAUUUCUAGUUUAUCAAAAUAUCUCUUUUUUCAAAUAUAAAAAUCUAAUUGAAUUUUAAUAUUGAAAGAUAAAAUAAAAUAUACAGUGAUGACUCUAAAGUUUAGAAAACACUUUAGAAAAGUGUGCAAUAUUUUAGGAAGUUACGUGAGUAUAUAAUAUAAUAUAAAUUAAUUUAUAAAUAAAUACUUCAAACUACGGCCACCUGACAUUUUCAUUACAAACCCCACACAUACUUAAAAAUAACAUGUUCUUUGAACUUAUACUCUUAAAUAAAGUACUCCCUCCGUCCCUUUUUAUCUGUCCAUUUUGGAAAAAAAAACACAUACCAAGGAAUAAUUGAUUGUAUAAAUUUUUUCAUUAAAUACCUCUAAUUAAUAUCUUGAAAAUGGUGGAAUACCCCUACUUUAUGUCUUGAAAACAUGAAUUCAACCAAGUUUUAAAUAAGUCAAGCCUUGAAAAUUGAAAUUAUGGAGAUAUAUUUGAAAAACUAUCAUUAAAUUAGUUUUGAAAGUAUAAAUGGACAGAUAAAUAGGGACGGAGGGAGUAGUUUGAACUCGACAAAGAGAAAACUAAAAAAUCAAAUAGUUCGAAAAUUCAUUUAAUGCACAAUUCAAUAAUGUAUACUAUAAAGUUAAAGUAAAUUACACAGAAAAAUAAUUUGCUCCAUACGGUCAACAUUAUUAUUUUAAAAGUAAAAGUUUGCGGCACAUGGGGCCUGUUUACGUAUCGAAUGGUUUAUAAUAAAGAUUGAAGGACUUCGAUACCAGGAAGAUGAAUUUGCAUCCAAAUUUCAUAAUAUGGGUUCAAGCAUGGUUUGCAGCCAUCUCCGGUCAGGAGGCUCUACUAUCUCGUCUAUUUUCAUCAGAUCUCUGAUAUUUCUUAGUACCAUUCAAUUCGCAGCAACUCUACAUUUUAACUUUACCAACUUCAACCGUACCAAUGAUGAUCAAAUAAAAUAUGAGAGAGAUGCCUUUACCACCAACGAUGUCAUCCACCUCACUAAAGCCGUGGUUGGUCAAUCAGCUAAGUCAAGUAUCGGACGAGUUACUUAUGGACAGCCUUUGCAUCUAUGGGAUAAGGCCUCAGGAAACCUUACUGACUUCACUACCCGUUUCACUUUUGUGAUUGAUUCCAGAAAUAAUACAGCGUAUGGCGAUGGGAUGGCGUUCUUUCUAGUUCCAAAUGGUACUGAGGUCCCGUCACUUGCAACAUCUGGUGGAACAUUUGGACUCACAAAUGAUAGUCAGCCUACCAACACCACCGCCAAUAAAUUUGUCGCUGUUGAAUUUGACGUGUAUGGGAACAACUGGGACCCUCCCCCCCAGUCGCAGGACGAUGAAAUCUUCACUAAUCCCAUUGAUUAUUAUGAGCAUGUAGGUGUUGAUGUCAACUCUGUGAAAUCCGAGACAACUGUGUUUUGGGAAAAUGGGAGGUCUAGUGUUAUGAAUGGGUGGACAAAUGAAGCUCAGAUAAGUUAUGCUUCUAGUUCAAAAAAUCUUAGUGUUUCAUUCCGUACAAAUAUAACUGGCAACUCUAGUGCUUCACAUCAAAGUUUCUACUUUGUGGUUGAUCUACGAGACCAUUUGCCAGAUUGGGUCAGUGUUGGCUUUUCAGCUUCAACAGGAGCCGCAAUUUCUUACAAUACAAUCAAUUCAUGGGAAUUCAGUUCUACUCUGGAGUCCCAUGCAGAGGCUCCGAGUCCAAGUGAUCCGAUAGCAGAGGUUCCAACUUUAAGUCAAACUGGUCCAGUACCACAGGUUCCAAAACAUAUUAAAACUAAUAAUAAAAAGAUGGGUACAGUGAUUGGAUUGGCGGUAGGGGUGUUUGUUCUUGUUUGUGCUGUGGGCACAUACAUUAUAUUGAAGAAGAAGAAAGAGAGAGAAGAAAAUGAAAAUACCAUUUGUUUUGAGGAUGAUUUCAUGGAUGAUGAAUUUGAGAAAGGAACUGGACCUAAAAAGUUCUCGUAUAAUGCUCUUGCUAUGGCAACAAGCAACUUUGCACCACAUGGAAAACUUGGAGAAGGAGGAUUUGGGGAAGUUUACAAAGGCUUCUUGAGUGAACUGAAUUUGGAUGUGGCUGUCAAGAGAGUCUCAAGAAAUUCUAGACAAGGAAUAAAGGAGUAUGCAUCUGAAGUGAGGAUCAUUAGUCGUCUGAGACAUAGAAAUUUGGUGCAGCUCAUUGGUUGGUGCCAUGAACGGAAUAAUCUUUUACUUGUCUAUGAGUAUAUGCAAAAUGGUAGCCUGGAUUCCCAUCUUUUCAAGGGGAAGAGCUUGCUGUCUUGGAGUACAAGGUAUAAAAUUGCUCAAGGCCUGGCGUCAGUAUUGCUUUAUCUACAUGAAGAAUGGGAGCGAUAUGUGGUGCAUAGAGAUAUUAAAUCAAGCAAUGUAAUGUUAGAUUCGAGUUUUAAUACUAAGCUAGGUGAUUUCGGAUUGGCCAGAUUUGUUGAUCAUGACAAGGGCGCACAAACAACUAUUGUGGCUGGGACACGAGGCUAUAUGGCCCCCGAAUGUUUCGUCACAGGACAAGCUAGCAGGGAGUCAGACGUUUUCAGCUUCGGAGUUGUAGCAUUGGAAAUAGCAUGUGGUCGAAAACCUAUUGACCUCAUGGUGGUAGAAAAUGAGAGAGAAUUGGUAAAGUGGGUUUGGGACCUCUAUGGAAUGGAACAAAUUCUUGAAGCAGCUGACCCAAGACUCUCAGGGGCUUACGACGAGCAUCAAAUGCAACGGUUGAUGAUUGUCGGGCUUUGGUGUGCACAUCCAGAUAGUACCACUAGGCCUUCCAUCAGGCAAGCAAUUCAUGUUCUUAAUUUUGAUGCUCCAUUGCCUUCACUCCCACGCAGGAUGCCUGUGGCAACCUAUUCCACGCCUUUAAACUUUUCUUCGGUGUCUUCAGAAAGCAAGGCCACUACCCAGACAAGCCAAACUCAUUCUUCAGCCUAUAGUAACGGUACUGAUUCUUCAGUGUCUGCAUCUGCAGCACUUCUAAACAAUACUAUAUAAGUGUGAUAAUUAACAUGUAAAAUAAAAAAAAAAUAUUUCCAAUUUAUAUAUGAGUAAAUAAGAGUGAUUAUGUUUACAGCAUUCACUUCUGAUUUGAUUCAUUCUGUAAUUGCUUGACAUAUUCGAAUUUUCAAUCUUCUUCACUAAUUGUCUUUCAUAGUUAUCACAUCAGUUAACAUUUCUAAUUUGGGCACUUGGCUUCAAUUAGUAGUGGUCCUGCUCAGUGCUUCUAAAUUCAAAUGCUGAUUAAUUCUCUGAAAGUAGUUCAACUAGAGGUUUAUAGUAAACUCUGUGGAUUACUUUAAUCUGUACCAUACUAAUAUUCCUUCCGCCGGCAAGAUAUUGGGAUAAAUUUUAUUGCACAAGUCACUGUCUACAGUCUUUAAGCAUUACCUGUCUGCAAUGAUCAAGACAAGUCUAUAUCGUCAACUAUCUUUUUUCAAUAAAUUUCAAAGUAUGUCCGAUAUGAGCUGAAUGAUUCAACUAAGAUUUUGUUUGAAACAUAACCCCAAGACCAAUUUGAAAGAUAUGAAACUGACUUGCAACAGCAGAGCCUGAAGCACCAAGGAAGAACUGAAGUAUAGCUUGUUACUAACAUCCAUAAGGCCAACUGCUGAUGCUCAAGGGUGAGUGUGAGGGUGGUUUGUGCCAGCAGAAAGCCAGCAUUUGGAACACUGACCAGUGAUUAAAAUAUUUCCGACUCCAAAUUUUCUGGUAAUUAUCAAAUUGUUUCUUUUGUUCAAGUUCAAAAAUCUAAUUAAAUUUAAAUACAAAAAGAGAAUAUAAAUAUACAGUAAUAAUUCUAAAGUUUAGAUUUUUAACUUGAGGAAAGUGUCCAAAUAUUUUAGGAAGCUACUGAGUACAUAAUAUAAUAUAAAUUAAUAUAUAAAAAUAAAUUCUUCAAAUUACGGUCUCCUAACAUUUUGAUUACAAAAAAACCUCCACAUACUUAGAAGCAUCAUGCCCUUUUAACUUAUACUCCUUAGAAAGUAGUUUGAACACGACAAAGAGAAAAUUAAAAAAUAAAAGUAGUUUGAAAAUUCACUUAAUGCACAAUUCAAUAAGCUAUAUAAAGUUAAAAGUAAAUUACCAAGAAAAAUAAUUUCCUCCUUAAAAUUAUUAUUAUAAAAGUUAAGGUUUCUAGUACAUGGGCCUAUUUGACGUAUUGAAUGGUUAAUAAAGUUUGAAAGACUUGGAUAACUGGAAGAUAAAUUUGCAUCCAAAUUUCACAAGAUGAAUUCAAGCAUGGUUUGCAGCCAUCUCAUGCCAGGAAGCUCUGCUAUCUCCUCUAUUGUCAUUAGAUCUCUGAUAUUUCUAAGUACGAUUCAGAUGGCAGCAACCUUACAUUUUAAGUUUACCAACUUCAACCAUACCAAUGAUGAUCAAAUAAAAUACGAGAGAGAUGCCUUUCCGGCCAACAAUGUCAUCCACCUCACUAAUGCGGUGAUUGGUCAAUCAGCUGAGUCAAGUAUCGGCCGAGUUACUUAUAGACAGCCUUUGCAUCUAUGGGACAAGGCCUCAAGAAACCUUACUGGCUUCACUACCCGUUUCACUUUUGUGAUUGAUUCCAGAAAUGAUACAGCGUAUGGCGAUGGGAUGGCGUUCUUUCUAGUUCCAAAUGGUACCGAGGUCCCGGCACUUGCAACAUCUGGGGGAACAUUUGGACUCACAAAUGAUAGUCAGCCUACCAACACCACCGCCAAUAAAUUUGUCGCUGUUGAAUUUGACGUGUUUGAGAACUCUUGGGACCCUGACAUUGACGAGCCGGAGGACCCUCUUUUUGGCCGUUCUCCUGAUGUGAAAAUUGAGCAUGUAGGUGUUGAUAUCAACUCUGUGAGAUCCAACAAAACUGUGCUUUGGGAUUAUGGGAGGUCUAGUGUUGAGAAUGGAUGGACCAAUGAAGCUCAGAUAAGUUAUGCUUCUAGUUCAAAAAAUCUUAGUGUUUCAUUCCGUACAAAUAUAACUGGCAAUUUCUACUUUGUGGUUGAUCUACGAGACCAUUUGCCAGAUUGGGUCAGUGUUGGCUUUUCAGCUUCAACAGGAGCCGCAAUUUCUUACAAUACAAUCAAUUCAUGGGAAUUCAGUUCUACUCUGGAGUCCCAUGCAGAGGCUCCGAGUCCAAGUGAUCCGAUAGCAGAGGUUCCAACUUUAAGUCAAACUGGUCCAGUACCACAGGUUCCAAAACAUAUUAAAACUAAUAAUAAAAAGAUGGGUACAGUGAUUGGAUUGGCGGUAGGGGUGUUUGUUCUUGUUUGUGCUGUGGGCACAUACAUUAUAUUGAAGAAGAAGAAAGAGAGAGAAGAAAAUGAAAAUACCAUUUGUUUUGAGGAUGAUUUCAUGGAUGAUGAAUUUGAGAAAGGAACUGGACCUAAAAAAUUCUCGUUUAAUGCUCUUGCUAUGGCAACAAGCAAAUUUGCACCACAUGGAAAACUUGGAGAAGGAGGAUUUGGGGAAGUUUACAAAGGCUUCUUGAGUGAACUGAAUUUGGAUGUGGCUGUCAAGAGAGUCUCAAGAAAUUCUAGACAAGGAAUAAAGGAGUAUGCAUCUGAAGUGAGGAUCAUUAGUCGUCUGAGACAUAGAAAUUUGGUGCAGCUCAUUGGUUGGUGCCAUGAACGGAAUAAUCUUUUACGUGUCUAUGAGUAUAUGCAAAAUGGUAGCCUGGAUUCCCAUCUUUUCAAGGGGAAGAGCUUGCUGUCUUGGACCGCAAGGUAUAAAAUUGCUCAAGGCCUGGCGUCAGUAUUGCUUUAUCUACACGAAGAAUGGGAACAAUGUGUGGUGCAUAGAGACAUUAAAUCAAGCAAUGUCAUGUUAGAUUCAAGUUUUAACACUAAGCUAGGUGAUUUCGGACUGGCCAGAUUUGUUGAUCAUGAUAGGGGUGCACAAACAACUAUGGUGGCGGGGACACGAGGCUACAUGGCCCCUGAAUGUUUUUUCACAGGCCAAGCUAGCAGGAUGUCGGAUGUUUUUAGCUUCGGAGUUGUUGCCCUGGAAAUAGCAUGUGGGCGAAAACCUAUUGACAUCAAGCUAGAAGAAAGUCGGGUAGAAUUAGUAAAGUGGGUUUGGGACCUUCAUGGGAAGGAACAAAUUCUUGAAGCAGCAGACCCAAAACUCUCCGGGGAUUACGACGAGAGUCAAAUGAAACGGUUGAUGAUGGUCGGGCUCUGGUGUGCCCAUCCAGACUGGCCAAUUAGGCCUUUCAUUAAGGAGGCCAUUCAAGUUCUUAAUUUUGAUGCUCCAUUGCCUGUUCUCCCGCCGCAGAUGCCAGUGGCAACCUAUUCCAUACCAUCAAACUUGUGUUUAGAAAACAGGGCCACAACCCAGAGAAGCCAAACUCAUUCUUCAGGCUGUAGUAACGGAACUGAUUCAUCAGUGUCUGCAACGGCAGCACGUCUAAGUAAUACUAGAUAAGC
This 19746-nucleotide long non-coding RNA is filed under the name Daucus carota (carrot). Its description in RNAcentral is "long non-coding RNA (DCAR_LNC000724)". The record is from RNAcentral. Lineage: Eukaryota; Viridiplantae; Streptophyta; Magnoliopsida; Apiales; Apiaceae.